UCCCUGAUGGCUUAGCUGUUAAAGCGUCUGCCUCCAAUGCAGGAGACCUGGGUUCGAUCCCUGAGUAGGGAA
Molecule: transfer RNA, 72 nt
Filed under: Bos taurus (domestic cattle)
Lineage: Eukaryota; Metazoa; Chordata; Mammalia; Artiodactyla; Bovidae
Also listed under: 2 other names
Rfam family: tRNA
About the family: Transfer RNA (tRNA) molecules are approximately 80 nucleotides in length. Their secondary structure includes four short double-helical elements and three loops (D, anti-codon, and T loops). Further hydrogen bonds mediate the characteristic L-shaped molecular structure. tRNAs have two regions of fundamental functional importance: the anti-codon, which is responsible for specific mRNA codon recognition, and the 3' end, to which the tRNAs corresponding amino acid is attached (by aminoacyl-tRNA synthetases). tRNAs cope with the degeneracy of the genetic code in two manners: having more than one tRNA (with a specific anti-codon) for a particular amino acid; and 'wobble' base-pairing, i.e. permitting non-standard base-pairing at the 3rd anti-codon position.
Source: Rfam by way of RNAcentral